Molecule: long non-coding RNA, 2426 nt
Filed under: Mytilus galloprovincialis (Mediterranean mussel)
Lineage: Eukaryota; Metazoa; Mollusca; Bivalvia; Mytilida; Mytilidae
Source: RNAcentral
AAAAUUUCUUAGAAUUUUCCUGUUUGUUGUAAACUUUAUUAACUUAACCUUUUUCACGUUUCUAAUUUACUAUUUACAGGUAGUGAUAAGACCAAAGUUAUGUUUUGGUAUGUUUUUCGUCUGUUCACUGUUAGGUAUGUGAUGGUCCAAGGUCAAACACAAGAAUUAUUUCAGAAAAAUCUCAUGAAAAUCAAGAUAAUAGAAGUUUUAAGAGGGGCUUGAACGAGAGUCAUUGUAUCACUAAAAAAAAAAAAUAUUUGAAAUGAAAUAAAAUUUUUGAACAACAAAAAAAUGGAUUUGGAUCUUGAAAAUAAAAUAAAUGGCUUAAUUAAGUUUAUAUAUGAUUUUUUUUACAUUUUUCUGCAGAGACCUCAGUGGCAUGCAAGUUGUUCAUCUACUGUAUCACUACCCUGUCAAUACUGUGAUUGUGAAUUUAAGCCCUGCGUGUUGUAGGUGUGUUCAACUCCAAUCUUUUUCAUAUUUGCUAUGAAAGGUUGGUGGUUAUCUUCAGACACACUAUCAUCCAAAAAAACAAACUGGCUGCCAUGAAAUAGCCAAUAUUCCUCAAAGUGGCAUUAAACAGAAAAAUCAAUCAAUCAAUAUAUUUUGUGCAUCUUUUUUUUUACCUGGUAAUUUUUAAGAAUUUAACUUGCAAUACAAAUAAAAUCAUAGACUGUUAAAUAGGAUGAUUUCAAUACUUAAAGUAACAUAAAUAGGGCAUUUGAUACUUGAGUGACAGUUUAUUACUCGAUUUAUUUCACUUGACUGGGCGGAGUUUAACCGAUUCGCUCACAAUAAACCAGUCUAUCUAUAGAGUAGGUGUUUUAGGAUAAACUUAUCAAUAAGUGUCCAGUCAUUGUUUUGUAAAUUCCUUUGAUGACACUGAUAGGUAAUUAUAAAUCAGUAAUAAUUAUAACGGCAAUCAUCCUUAUCACACACAUCUUCAAAUAGACUGUCCUUAUGCAAAUUAAAACGUAAGCUCCGCCCGAUCAGUUGAAAUAACAUUGGUAAUACCUUAGAUGAUUGUAUAUCUUUGUGUCAGGCAAAAGAUUUUCCUUACAAGAUAGUAUUCUGAAUAUUUAGGGCAAAUAUCAUUUUAUUGUUUUGAGUGGCCAAUAAAAACAAAUGAAUGUGUUUCAACAAUGUUUAAGAAAUUCGUUUUGAAAAAAAAAAAAUGUGAGGAUUUUUUUUCCCCUGAGUUCACAAUAAAAGAAAAAGUAGAAUGAGGAUAAAAUUUCAGAUCUUCAAACCACCUAGUUUUGAGGCUGAAAGGAGGAAGAUCACACUUUUAAUUGUUUGGGGUAAAAAAACAAACAUGCCUUUAUCAGUUAUUAGAUAAUCAAAUUUUAAAUAAUAUUUUCAAUUUUAGUUUAAUUGAAUUAUAAAAUUUGCUCUUUGAAAAAAAAAUACAAAGGAAAGGAAAUCAUAGUUAAUUUUGAAAUCAGAAUCAUGACUGGCAACAAUAAGUAAGUGACCUUAUACAAGUGCACAUUUACAUAUACAUGUACAAGCCUUUGAUUGAAAAUACAAAAUAAUAAAUGAAUUAUGGUCAGCUUUGUAGGGUUCUUAUAACAAGUCAGUUUUCAAACAGUUCCAUGAUUUUUUCAACACGAAAUAGGUUAACUGGGCCAUGUUCAAUAUUGUAGCUGCUACGUAGUGCUACUUAGAUUUUGACUAUUGAACGUGUAGCUAUAGACUAGCUACUACAUAGAUAUUGAUAGCAGCUACGUAGCUGCUACGAUAUUGAACACAACCCAGAUAUUCAUUUCCUCUAUCACAGAACCAACCUUUUGUAAUUAAUGACAAAUUGUUCUCGUCCAGAAUAUACAUGAAAUAUUUGCAACUGGGUGUUAGGCAACCAACUAUCAAUCAAUCAAUCAUCUUUCAUUAUAUGAAUACAUUUUGAAAAUAAGAAAAUUGGGGAAAAGAAAUUGCUGUAAAGUUGUCUAGAAAGGGCUUAACGUGAAAUAAAGUUUCGGUAAAAUUCAGUUGGUUUACAGUAUUAUUUGAUAGUCACGUUGAGCUUCUCCAGAUUUCUGUUAUCCUUUUAUUGAAGUAUUAAAUUUAAAAUAGGAAUGCAUAAGUUGAAAAAGUACAAAAAUAAAAAAAUGUGGUAUAAUUGCUAAUGAGAGAACACUCCACAAAAAGAGUUGUUUCGGAAAUGGUUUUUAUGGGGACUGGGAGAUACUUAUGAUUAAUAAGUAUGCUGUUGUAUUUUAAGGAGUUUUAAGAAUCAUAAAAUUUUUAUAUUGUGCUUGGUUGGGGUUAUAAACCCUCCAUUAAUUAAUGGAAGAGCCCUAUCAUGCCUAUUAAGAAUUUAGAAUUUUUAUGAUGUACGUUUUUAUUGAAGAACAAAAGUGUUAUUUAUAUUUAAUUUAGCAUAACUUCAAGUUGUAAUUUUUAUCCUUGAAAGCAUCAUAUAGUGC